GAGAUCUUCGGAUCUAGUGGCGCACGGGUGAGUAACGCGUGGGAACCUACCUUUUAGUACGGGACAACGUUUGGAAACGAACGCUAAUACCGUAUACGCCCUCCGGGGGAAAGGCUUGCCGCUAAAAGAGGGGCCCGCGUCUGAUUAGCUUGUUGGUAAGGUAAUGGCUUACCAAGGCUUCGAUCAGUAGCUGGUCUGAGAGGAUGAUCAGCCACACUGGGACUGAGACACGGCCCAGACUCCUACGGGAGGCAGCAGUGGGGAAUAUUGGACAAUGGAGGCAACUCUGAUCCAGCAAUGCCGCGUGUGUGAUGAAGGCCUUAGGGUUGUAAAGCACUUUCAACGGUGAAGAUGAUGACGGUAGCCGUAGAAGAAGCCCCGGCUAACUUCGUGCCAGCAGCCGCGGUAAUACGAAGGGGGCGAGCGUUAUUCGGAAUUAUUGGGCGUAAAGGGCUCGCAGGCUGCUUGAACAGUUAGACGUGAAAUCCCCGGGCUCAACCUGGGAACUGCGUUUAAUACUAGCAAGCUA
This 529-nucleotide ribosomal RNA is filed under the name uncultured Alphaproteobacteria bacterium. RNAcentral describes it as "bacterial SSU rRNA". It matches the Rfam family "Bacterial small subunit ribosomal RNA", at positions 69 to 643 of the family's 1533-position model. The record is from RNAcentral. Lineage: Bacteria; Pseudomonadati; Pseudomonadota; Alphaproteobacteria.